AAAACCGUCUUGGAGCAAAGGGAUCAUUGUGAAAACCGUCUUGGAGCAAAGGGAUCAUUGUGAAAACCGUCUUGGAGCAAAGGGAUCAUUGUGAAAACCGUCUUGGAGCAAAGGGAUCAUUGUGAAAACCGUCUUGGAGCCACCCUACCCUCCCGCCUUGGAGACAGUACUGUGGGUGAUUUCCUUCAACUCCUGCUUUGGAUUCUCUUCCACAACAAGCACCUAGGAAAUGAUCAGCUGACAAGUGUCUUCAUUUCGAGAGAAGAUCAGAUGCAGCCAGCUUACCUGAGAGAGCUUUCCCUAUCUCUAUGAAUACAGCAAAUAUUCGGGAGGACCCUCAGAUUUCUCUACUGUUAGUAAGCAAGACCCACUGGCUCCUCUGAAG
Long non-coding RNA from Mirounga angustirostris (Northern elephant seal), 385 nucleotides. RefSeq lists it as uncharacterized. The transcript is spliced from 3 exons. NCBI's taxonomy places the organism in Eukaryota, Metazoa, Chordata, Mammalia, Carnivora, Phocidae. The record is from RefSeq and is a predicted model, not a curated record.